RNAcentral lists this ribosomal RNA (620 nucleotides) under Escherichia coli. RNAcentral's name for it is "partial 23S ribosomal RNA". It matches the Rfam family "Bacterial large subunit ribosomal RNA", at positions 418 to 1038 of the family's 2925-position model. Lineage: Bacteria; Pseudomonadati; Pseudomonadota; Gammaproteobacteria; Enterobacterales; Enterobacteriaceae. The record is from RNAcentral.
CGGGACACGUGGUAUCCUGUCUGAAUAUGGGGGGACCAUCCUCCAAGGCUAAAUACUCCUGACUGACCGAUAGUGAACCAGUACCGUGAGGGAAAGGCGAAAAGAACCCCGGCGAGGGGAGUGAAAAAGAACCUGAAACCGUGUACGUACAAGCAGUGGGAGCACGCUUCGGCGUGUGACUGCGUACCUUUUGUAUAAUGGGUCAGCGACUUAUAUUCUGUAGCAAGGUUAACCGAAUAGGGGAGCCGAAGGGAAACCGAGUCUUAACUGGGCGUUAAGUUGCAGGGUAUAGACCCGAAACCCGGUGAUCUAGCCAUGGGCAGGUUGAAGGUUGGGUAACACUAACUGGAGGACCGAACCGACUAAUGUUGAAAAAUUAGCGGAUGACUUGUGGCUGGGGGUGAAAGGCCAAUCAAACCGGGAGAUAGCUGGUUCUCCCCGAAAGCUAUUUAGGUAGCGCCUCGUGAAUUCAUCUCCGGGGGUAGAGCACUGUUUCGGCAAGGGGGUCAUCCCGACUUACCAACCCGAUGCAAACUGCGAAUACCGGAGAAUGUUAUCACGGGAGACACACGGCGGGUGCUAACGUCCGUCGUGAAGAGGGAAACAACCCAGACCGCCAG